CGCAUAUUUUGCUCAGGCGGAGCUCGACCGCCCGUUCCGCAAAUGAUUGCCUUCAUUGAGGAUCACAGAGAGGUCUACGGGGUCGAGCCGAUCUGCAAGGUACUGCCGAUUGCCCCU
Molecule: non-coding RNA, 117 nt
Organism: Roseobacter sp. AzwK-3b
Lineage: Bacteria; Pseudomonadati; Pseudomonadota; Alphaproteobacteria; Rhodobacterales; Roseobacteraceae
Source: Rfam